GAUGAACGCUGACAGAAUGCCUAACACAUGCAAGUCAACUUGAAUUUGGGUUUUUAACUUAGGUUUGGGUGGCGGACGGGUGAGUAACGCGUAAAGAACUUGCCUCACAGCUAGGGACAACAUUUGGAAACGAAUGCUAAUACCUAAUACUAUGAUAAUAGGGCAUCCUAUAAUUAUGAAAGCUAUAAGCGCUGUGAGAGAGCUUUGCGUCCCAUUAGCUAGUUGGAGAGGUAACGGCUCACCAAGGCGAUGAUGGGUAGCCGGCCUGAGAGGGUGAUCGGCCACAAGGGGACUGAGACACGGCCCUUACUCCUACGGGAGGCAGCAGUGGGGAAUAUUGGACAAUGGACCAAGAGUCUGAUCCAGCAAUUCUGUGUGCACGAUGAAGUUUUUCGGAAUGUAAAGUGCUUUCAGUUGGGAAGAAAGAAAUGACGGUACCAACAGAAGAAGUGACGGCUAAAUACGUG
This 467-nucleotide ribosomal RNA is filed under the name uncultured bacterium. RNAcentral describes it as "partial 16S ribosomal RNA". It matches the Rfam family "Bacterial small subunit ribosomal RNA", at positions 28 to 507 of the family's 1533-position model. The record is from RNAcentral.